GUGAGGAAUAUUGGACAAUGGGCGCAAGCCUGAUCCAGCCAUGCCGCGUGCAGGAAGACGCAUCUAUGGUGUGUAAACUGCUUUUGUACGGGAAGAAACACUCCCUCGUGAGGGAGCUUGACGGUACCGUAAGAAUAAGGAUCGGCUAACUCCGUGCCAGCAGCCGCGGUAAUACGGAGGAUCCAAGCGUUAUCCGGAAUCAUUGGGUUUAAAGGGUCCGUAGGCGGUUUAAUAAGUCAGUGGUGAAAGCCCAUCGCUCAACGAUGGAACGGCCAUUGAUACUGUUAGACUUGAAUUACAAGGAAGUAACUAGAAUAUGAAGUGUAGCGGUGAAAUGCUUAGAUAUUACAUGGAAUACCAAUUGCGAAGGCAGGUUACUACUUGUGGAUUGACGCUGAUGGACGAAAGCGUGGGGAGCGAACAGGAUUAGAAACCCUAGUAGUCC
This 445-nucleotide ribosomal RNA is filed under the name uncultured bacterium. RNAcentral's name for it is "partial 16S ribosomal RNA". It matches the Rfam family "Bacterial small subunit ribosomal RNA", at positions 354 to 796 of the family's 1533-position model. The record is from RNAcentral.